Molecule: long non-coding RNA, 1021 nt
Organism: Callorhinus ursinus (northern fur seal)
Lineage: Eukaryota; Metazoa; Chordata; Mammalia; Carnivora; Otariidae
Source: RefSeq, a predicted model, not a curated record
GUAAAAACCAAUGAACCACUAAAGUAAUUAGUAAAAAUUUAUUGUGCACACACCAAAAAUAGUUUGCAAACCGGGAGCUCUGGAACCAGAGCACGGAAUGAGGCCCAGGGUAUAUCUUUAUAAAGCUACUUGUGCCGUGAGAAAGCAGUGACUGUUUAUUCUUCACGGAUUGGCUGCAGUGAGAAUUUUCAGUGGUCCCUUCAUAUCAUCCAUGGGAACCAGUUCAAGUUUUGCUUAUCAUUUCCAGAAGCUCAAACAAGAAAUGAUCUAGGUCAACUUAGCCUUGCAAAAUAAGCUAAAUUAUGCUUUGUUUGUAUGAUCAUACUGGUUACUCUGCUUAGAAUUUUCAAGGCUAGUCUCCGUUCGGUUUUGAUUUUAAUAGGCUCUAUCUCUCAAUAAAUGCGAGAGAGCCCGCGAAAGCGCCCCAAUACGAAGCUGCGCUAUCUGGGCGGCACUAGGACCCCGGGGGCUCCAGGUUAGCUCUCCCAGCCGGCGAGUGGUGGCGCGGGUUUAAGGACCGGCAGGAGCUGGAAGCAAGGGAAGGGCGAGGCGAGUGAGCAGGGACACAAUGGACACUUUCUGCCCUCUGGAGGGAGCUAUCCAAAAGAAGAAACUGCACUUGGAAAUUGACCUAUGAGCAGCACAGAAGAUGAAGAAGAAGGAAAGGGGCCAUCAAGCAGAGAAAUGUGGAGAUCCUGGUGAUACUGGCAAUGACCCUUCAGCAGGGAGAUGGCUGGACCUGCCAAGUGGAGCACCCCAGCCUGGAUGGUCCUGUCACUGUGGAGUGGAGUUCCUGAUCUGACCCAAAGACCUCCGUGUGCCCCGGAACAAGCAUUUUUCUAUCUUUCCUCAGUCCUAGAGGCUGGUUCUGGGACAGACUUCAGCCUCCCAAGAGGAUGUUACUACGAAGUAACUGAAACUAGUUUCUAUAGUUGUUCUUUGAUUCCAUGCACACUUUCUCUCAGGGCCCCUAUCCAAGUUCCCUUCUUAUAGUUCCAUAAAUAAUAAAAGGUCAAUGUUA